UACGUAGGGGGCGAGCGUUGUCCGAAGUUACUGGGCGUAAAGCGCGCGUAGGCGGUCCUUUAAGUCCGGGGUGAAAGGUUCAGCGCUCAACGUGAACAGUGCCCUGGAGACUGGGGACUUGAGUGUGGGAGGGGGCAGUGGAAUUCCUGGUGUAGCGGUGAAAUGCGCAGAUAUCAGGAGGAACACCGGUGGCGAAGGCGGAUCUCUGGGCCGUAACUGACGCUGAGGAGCGAAAGCAUGGGGAGCGAACAGG
RNAcentral lists this ribosomal RNA (253 nucleotides) under uncultured bacterium. Its description in RNAcentral is "partial 16S ribosomal RNA". It matches the Rfam family "Bacterial small subunit ribosomal RNA", at positions 524 to 776 of the family's 1533-position model. The record is from RNAcentral.